This 579-nucleotide ribosomal RNA is filed under the name uncultured bacterium. RNAcentral's name for it is "bacterial SSU rRNA". It matches the Rfam family "Bacterial small subunit ribosomal RNA", at positions 948 to 1526 of the family's 1533-position model. The record is from RNAcentral.
AAUUCGAAGCAACGCGCAGAACCUUACCAGCUUUUGACAUGUCCUGGACGGAUUGCAGAGAUGCGAUCUUCCCUUCGGGGCCGGGAACACAGGUGCUGCAUGGCUGUCGUCAGCUCGUGUCGUGAGAUGUUGGGUUAAGUCCCGCAACGAGCGCAACCCUCGCCUUUAGUUGCCAUCAUUCAGUUGGGCACUCUAGAGGGACUGCCGGUGAUAAGCCGGGGGAAGGUGGGGAUGACGUCAAGUCCUCACGGCCCUUACAGGCUGGGCUACACGCGUGCUACAAUGGCGGUGACAGAGGGAAGCGAGGGCGCGAGCCGGAGCCAAUCUCGAAAAGCCGUCUCAGUUCGGAUUGCACUCUGCAACUCGAGUGCAUGAAGUCGGAAUCGCUAGUAAUCGCGGAUCAGCACGCCGCGGUGAACACGUUCCCGGGCCUUGUACACACCGCCCGUCACACCAUGGGAGUUGGCUUUACCCGAAGGCGUUUCGCUAACCGAUGAGGGGACGGACGACCACGGUAGGGUCAGCGACUGGGGUGAAGUCGUAACAAGGUAGCCGUAGGGGAACCUGCGGCUGGAUCAC